GAGUUUGAUCGUGGCUCAGAUUGAACGCUGGCGGCAUGCCUUACACAUGCAAGUCGAACGGCAGCAUGAUCUAGCUUGCUAGAUUGAUGGCGAGUGGCGAACGGGUGAGUAAUACAUCGGAACGUGCCCUGUAGUGGGGGAUAACUAGUCGAAAGAUUAGCUAAUACCGCAUACGACCUGAGGGUGAAAGUGGGGGACCGCAAGGCCUCAUGCUAUAGGAGCGGCCGAUGUCUGAUUAGCUAGUUGGUGGGGUAAAGGCCCACCAAGGCGACGAUCAGUAGCUGGUCUGAGAGGACGAUCAGCCACACUGGGACUGAGACACGGCCCAGACUCCUACGGGAGGCAGCAGUGGGGAAUUUUGGACAAUGGGCGAAAGCCUGAUCCAGCAAUGCCGCGUGUGUGAAGAAGG
RNAcentral lists this ribosomal RNA (409 nucleotides) under uncultured microorganism. Its description in RNAcentral is "bacterial SSU rRNA". It matches the Rfam family "Bacterial small subunit ribosomal RNA", at positions 9 to 414 of the family's 1533-position model. The record is from RNAcentral.